UCCUAUGUGGCUUGAGAGCCUGUAGUAUAUUUUCCUACACACAAAUAUCAAAAUUCAAUAAAGCUUUUAUCUCAGUGUGAUGCCAUUUCCUUCAGAGACAGUACUUCUUUAAGGUGGGUGUGGAGUAAGUGUGAUUGUUUUGCCUUUUCUCUCUCUUGUGAUUGCCAGCCACUAAUUCCACAUGAAAGUUGUGGUCAAACCUGCAAUGGAGUAGGCCUCGUGGGGACAUCCAUUAAUUUGUCCAUUGGUUUCAUUGUUGCUGACAUUGCUGUGGCAAAUAUAUGUGUGUACCUGUGUGGGGAGGUUUGUUCAGAAAAGUUUAUUCAAACCACCUGCUUGAUGAUGUGCUCAUUUUAUGAGACCACUGUUAAUUCUGACACGUUCCUUGUGGUUCCUUCAGCUGGGCAGGAACCACUUUCGUUGUCUUAAAAGCCCUUUUUCAAAUUGAUUUUUGAGAGAAGCAUAAGGAAAAGCUGAUUUAGUGACUAAUGUCACUGUAAGAGUCAGAACAGAAUUUUAAAAUUCGUUUUCCAUUUGUAGGGAGGGUGGUGUGAUUUUUUUUUUAAAAAAAAGCUCAUUGGUGCUUAAUACACCUGUCUUAGUUCUUGAUUGAUGAAAACCAUGAGAAAUUGCGCAGUUGAUACUCAGCAGCUCACUGUCAUGAUGUGGUGGUUUGAAGGCUGCAAAGAAUAGGGUGAUGGCUGCUUACAGCCUAUUUCAUUGCAAGGCUGUUUACCUCUGACUUUAGUUUGACGGCUUUUUCUCCCCAUCCUCCCCAUACCUUGCAUUUGUCCCUUGGUUGCUUUCUUUGGUUGUCUGGCUUGGCUGUUGACAGUGCUUAAAAUGAGGAGCAGAGGAGGAGACUACCUGAUUACAUUGGCAUUGGGCAGUUGCUAAUCUGUUCCUAGUUCCCAGUGUCUAUUAGUAGUUAGCUUUAGGAGAGCUCCCUGUUGCAACUUAAUUUGCCAGAGGAAGCAAUUUCUUCAGAUUCUCUCUCCUAUCUGCAUAUAAUUGUUUGAAAUGCAAGGUAAUAGAAUUUGGACAAUGACAGCUAUCCCCAAAGACCUACGAGAGCCUCCCAAGAUAUGAAUACAUAAAAAAUAAUCUGAAACCUUCAUAAAGGACUAUUAUAAUGCUUGCUAUUCUUUCGAUUUUUCUGAUCUUAGUGGGUUAUUGUUUACUAAAUGUAUGCAUAUAUGUAUUAAUGCUCUGAAAUAAUUUAAGGCAAUAUUAAAAUUGUGUAUGUAAACUCAUUCACCCAAUCCCUCUGUGCCCCUCUGUGAGGAAGAUGGGGAGUUAAUAAGUUUAAUAGAUAGAUAAAUGAAUGAAACCUGCACACUCUAAAAUGAGGAGGAGGGGAGGAAGAAAGAGGAGGAAGAGUUGGUGGUGGUGGUAGAGAAGGAGGAGGAGGAGAUGAUGAUGAUUGAGAAGGAUUCUCUACUUAUUUGCUUCCUAAUACAUCUUUCUUGGCAUGGCAUUUAAAGAGGAGCCUUCAAGGCUGAUCUGAAAGUACAGAUAAAAGUCCUGGAAUUGAGCAUUGGUAACUCUAAAACAGUAUAUCUCAAAAGACGUUCCUUGUAUAUCCUCGGGAACUCUGAAACCAUUCAAAAUGUCACAUUAGUAUCUUACAUCACAUUAACAAAAUCUCAUGAUGUUUCAGUUUUGUGGGAGUUAGGACAGACUCUGUACUGAGCCCCGGCUGUUGUCUAUAAAGAGACAGCAAAGUAUUGCUGUGAUGUAAAGAACUUCUAGUUUCAGUUGACAGCCCCAUAAUGUCAUUGUAAAUAAAUGAAAUUUCUGGACCCUUCGCAAACAUAACCUCAUAUACAACAUAUUGCAAUAAUCCAAAAAUAAAGGGCGUCAGUUGAAGUAUCUUUAGCAGUUCAAGCAUUAUUUCUUGGAACAGUUUUUGAGUUAGCCCCAUUAAGUUUUGCUUCAAUUGUGCUAAGUAAUUUAUAACUCUCUUUAGAACUGAUCCCAUAAUUUCCUUUGGAAUCCAUAUCAGUUUUUCCUUCUCCUCUUCCUCCUCCUCUUUGGGGAAAGUGGUAGAGAUGAGAGAUUAAAACUUGAAAUAAUUCAGUUCUUCUCCAUACCUCCAUGGAAAAUGUGUUACAGUCUCUCUAAAUGUUUCAGGCUAUAUUCAUAGUUCAUCCAGACAAACUAAAUCUGGAAUUACGCAUCUCCAGCAUGAGUGUUGCUUUUUGAGAUGAAAUGUUGACACUUUUAAUAGAAUUUGUUGUGUGCCUAUGCCUGUGUGAAUGCAUGUGGGGUAUGCAAAUGUGUGCAUGAAUAAUAUGUAUAUAUUUUUUAUUCCUUUAUAGCUAAUUUGAGGCCUUUAUAGUUUAAGUCCCUGCAGGAGAUUGGUAAUGAUGACUGGUAAUAGGUCUCCCACUGAUACUCAUUUUUUGUGCUUUCUAUACUAUAUUUCAUUGUCACUGUUUGCAAAUGUAUUGGUUAUUUCCAUUGCAGAAACUGUUAUCCUGCGCUGCUUCUCUUUCAUUUGGUCAUCCACAACUGCAUCAUUUUAUUGAGCAUUUCAAAAAUGAAAUAAAAUGAAAUGCAUUUUUUGAUUAAUUUCCGAAUACUCUCUGGUAUAUUUCUGGUCAUUUUGGAGAUCUUCCUUUCCUAUAACUAUUUAAUAAGAAGUAAUCAAAUAGCUGAAAAGAAAGAUUUGCUUUCAUGAAAAAGUAUUGAAAGAUUAACUGAUUUUGGAAUACUUAAUUGUGUAUUUUGUGUACUUCUCAAAUUGGGGGUGUUCCCCUACAGGAUAUGUCAAAGGGGAUACUGUAGUCCUGAAUAUGUAAUUAGUGACUGGAUUAUUAAAAUAACAAAGGGAGCUGUCAAUCUAAAACCUGUGGUUAUAAAUCCCGGCCUGCAUCAUGAUAUAGAUUCCUGUUUUAGUGCAUGUGAGGCCCCUCUUAUAUCUGUAAUUAUUUUCUGUGGCCAGCACAAUGAAGAGGCAGAAGGUAGCAUAGGAACCUGGUGUUAUACAACUGUUCCCUCCAUUUUUCAUGUUGAUGUUUUAGCUGGAAAAAUCAUUGGACAAUAUGCUUAUUUGGCCUUGAUGAACCUUUGAUUGCAUGCCAUCAAGUCAAUAUCAAAUCUUAGUGAUCACAUAGAUUUUCUCCAGGAUCACUUAUCAUUGCAAUCAUUAAGCCCUUCAAUUUGCUAAUCUUGCACAGUUCUAUUUUUAACUCUUCUCUUUUUGUGUAUUAAUCCCUGCAGAUUCAACUAAUAGUGGAUCAGCUAAAUCAAAGGCUUCAUGUGGCUCACGGAAAGAGCACUAUCAUAAAGAGAUGCUUGCCAUCUCCUUCAUCUCAGCCGUCAACCGCAAGAGGAAGAAGCGGAGAGAGGCCAAGCGUUUUGGGAGCAGCACAGAUGAUGAUUCUGAGCAUGAAUCAGCUGUCAAGAGAGACGAGGAGGAGGAGGAAGAAGUGGCUCAGGAGGAAGAAAGAGAGGCUGAAAGAUUGGGGAAUAGCAGCAGAGCUCCAGUUCCUGAUGUGCAGGAUGUCUUCCAAAGCCGGGCAAAAUUAGAAGCAGAGCAAGUAGAAAGAAAAGUGGCACCCCGAGGAAGCCCAGAGUUGGCCCUGGAUGCCCGCUCAAUUGUUUCAGGUUACUCCACUCUGUCUACCAUUGAUCGCAGCCUAUGCUCUGAGGUGCAGUCAGUAGCAGAGAGCCGUGGGGAGGAGGCAGAUGAUGAGCGGAGUGAAUUUAGCCAUGUGGAGACAGAUACUGAGAAUAGCUUUGUGCCAAAACAGCCUGGGAUGCUUCCCAAAGGAGCUGGUGUGGCAGUAGUGGAGGAAGGGGGGGCUGCUGCUUCUGAAAAGAUAUCACACAACCGAACCUCCUUUAGUUCCCAUCACCUCAUGCAGUGUGACACUCUGGCACGGCGCAAGCUUUUGCGGCCCCGACACAAUAGUGAGUCUUCUUCCAAGGGUAGCACUGAUGUCCCAAGUUCCAGUUCCCCAGGCAGUCAAGAGUCAUUGCAGCCUGUGGGUGCCCCUGAGAUCCACACCCGGCUUUCCCUCACAGAACAACUUCGACUCCGCCUCCGCGGCUCUGCAGAUGACAUGCUGGCUGUGCGCCUGCGAAAGCCACACUCACCUGAGACACGGCGCAAGAAGAACAGUUGGCGGCGCCAUACUGUAGUGGUCCCUGGUGGUCUCAAAGACCUCAAUUAUGAGUGGAAGGAACAACAUGUAUUGGGGACUACUGAGGCUGGUCCACUAGACUCCUCAAAUAGAGGUGCGCUAAGGGACAACAAAGACUCUGGGCUUAGCAGCCUAGAGUCAACUAAAGCUCGGUCUUCCUCAAUCACACCAGGGAACAUGACAGUUCCUAACCAGCAGAGUGAGCCACAGCAUCGUAAAGGCAGCUCUGAGGGGCGUUCAGCUCCCCGACGUACAGCCUCUUUACGUUUCCACCAAUGUCUUUAGAUAGCCUUUUGUUGAAGCUCUUGUAGAAUGGAUGAAAGGAAAACUUGGCUUGCCCAUGGUAACAGCCUUGUCUUGAGAAUGGAGGAGGGUGCUCACAGGUGCAGCCACACUUGAAAGUUCCAGUACUGGCCUUACUUUGUCUUUUUUCAUACCUCGAUCUGCAGUGGAGCAAGAAACUCUCCUCCUACCUACCCCAUACUUAUCUUUGCUUUCUAAUUCCCCCAGAUAUUAAUUUAAUCACAUCAUGGUUUUGUGAUUUGUGAAUUUAUUUAUUCUCCUCUUUCCUUAUCCCCAGGAUGGCAGUCAAAAACGAAACAAAACAAAAAAGCUGAGACAAAAUCCAUCAGAUUGAGACUACCCAGUUCCAUGUGAAGUAGAGUUGGACUGCAAGCUAAAGUGGUGGUUUAUACUUCAAAAAUUUCAAUUGAAGUCAAAGUAUUACAGAAGUGCCUCCUUGGUGCUGUCAAAUGGCAGCUGUUUUUUUAUAUGCAUCUGGUGUGCAACAUAUGAAAAAAGGACAGAGCUAUGAUCAUCUACUUGCAGCUACCAUGUUGACUUCUCUUCAAGCCCUUCUUACAAGCAUACCUGUUUCAUUUUUUAAAUUUUUUUUUUUUGGUUCUGAGGGAGACGUCCCAAGUUGUCUAUAUGUGCCUUUCACAAGAAGACUUCUUUCCCUAUUUGUUACAGGCUCUUCAGUGUCUGGUGGUUGAAGUGUUAGCCUAAGGGGUGGUCAGUAAAUGUAUAAAAUGUAUUAAAAUAUUUCAUUGAGGUAAACCAUCUUAAAAACUUCAAAUUUUAACUGUUCACGCGACUCCCUUAUUGCGUCUGCUUGAAGAACAUUCUGUGAAACUUGAAAGCUCACCUAGGAUUUAGGUAAUUGCGUGUCUCCUCUUCAAAAAGCCCAUCUAUCUUCUAGUGUUGGCCUGUUUGUGACUAUGAAAGUCGAUCCCUAACAGGAUGUAAAGGACUUAAACUCUGUGCUAUUGGAAACAUAAAAGGAAGGUAAACCACAAGGCACCAAAACUACAACUUCCCUAGCAGGUGUACAGUUUGUGCUGUAUUUGAAGAAGCAGAAAAUUUGUCUCUGCUUUGCUCUGUCUUCCAUGUGUUCUAAAUAUGUGUCUUACCACAAUUCCAUUGAAACUUUGAAAAGGAGCAUGUAGAUGUGUGCAGGUGUGGAAUUUAAAACUGAACAAAAUUAAGUAGUUGGCUGUACUGUAAUACGUUGUCCUUAUCCUUUUAUGCAACUAUGUGCUGUAAAGUUUUAUUCACAUUUUUCACAUUUAUUUUGUAAAUAGCUUUUACAUGUGUAACAUAUGAUAAAGAGUUUAUAAGGAUUUUAAGGGGAGUGGGGGAAGCCCAAGACUUUUAUUAUUUUUUUCCUUUUUAAAAUGGAAGUUAUACAACCGUAGAUAUUUUGGUGGUGUUUUUUUUUAAAUAGAAAAAACAAAACUUCCUUGCAUGGUUUGUCCCUCUUUUCAUCUUUAUGUUGUAUAAUAUAUAUGGUCAAACAAAACAAUUCUGCUUUAAAUAUAGCCCCAAAAUUACAAUUAUAUAUAUAUUGGAAAUAAACUGCCUUAUUCAAAAAACAAGUUUGCUUACUUAUUUAAAGCAUAAGCUCUAGCUAGUAAAACACACUAUGGAUUAAUAGUGUUGAAAGUAUGCUAUUAGAUGUGAUUUAUUUGCAUCAAUUACCAAUUAUCCAUAAGCAGAAGUUUAACAAAAGAAAGUUCUCUUCACACUCCACUGUAAUACAUUAAAAAUAAACACAUUAUGAGAUCCCUACUAUUUUAAAUUAUGCAGCUUCCACAUAUUACACAGUUGAUAUUUUUCCUGCACGCAUAUGAAGCAUUAGUGAAUUAUAUCAGGCACUGAAACUGUACAUAAUCAUAUGGGAACUCUCUUCUUGUAGCUUCAGAGGGUUUAUCAAACAUCAAUUAAAUUUCAAGAUUUUGCAACAAUAAAAUGUAGAAAACUGUUAAUGGUAACAGCAAGUCAAUUUUACUAUUAAUCUAAAUAAAACAGAAUUUAGAUGUUAAUUUUAAAAAAAAGAUCUAAUCUGGAAUAAAUUUGGAGGAGUAAAUUAGUGUGCAAUGAUGCCUUUCUCCUUUUUCCACUUUUGGGCCUCUUUUUUUUUACUUGCUCUUCAUCUUCUGCUUAUAUGUCAGUCUAGCUUCCUUUUCUUGAGCUCUCGACAGAGCAGCAUGGAUGUCACAAAAAUGAGGGCAUGACAUAAUGUGCUCGUAUCUCUCCAUCUAAGAGCUUAGAAAACAGAAAGUGGGCAGUACAUCAUAAAAGAUAAACCCUCAUCUUCUGGUAAGCUCCAAAUCUGGAAAUCAGUCAAUAAGAAGUGACAAUGUAAAGAAUAUGGUGUUUAUACAGUUUAUACACUCCGCAAAAGGUGCACAUAAGAACAGCUUAGUAUUUAACAUGCUAAUUUAUAAACUAAUUUAAACCCAAGGAUUGAAAAUCAAAUAGAAAUACAGUGUAGAAUUCCUUCCUACAGCAGGGGAGAUGGUCUGCAUUCAGUCCUGAUUGCUGCCAAAAUGUCACCUCUGGGUCAACUCUCCCUUCUUUACCUUUAAGCCAGCCUGGAAAGAUCCUUCAAAGACCAAAGACUUCUUCAAACAGAGGACACAGCUACUCUUGUUCCUGUUCCAUCUGCUCAACUUCUUUGGUUGUAUGGAAUCCGAAAUACCUGCCUCUAAGCAAAACUGUAAAUCACAUUUAUUUUAAAGAAUAACCCUUAAAACUGUUAAUUCGCAUCUGUUGUUUUUUAAAGGAGUAACCCCUUAAGAAAUAAACCUUAAGAAAAGUAUUAUGGGGAGGAAAGAGUAUUUUAUUAAAUUCAGACACUCUGCUAGAAAACACCAGAAAUAGAAAAAAGGAAAAAGGAAAAAAUUAAAGGAAAAAAGCAACCUUCCUUCAUUUGGAAUUUCUGACAAACAAAGAUCACAGUUGUCACAGAAGAAAACAUGGCAUAAAAUUUAUACAUAGGACUCUACCUACAGAUAGCAGAAAAGAUUUACAAAACUUACAGUGUAUUUCAAGACUGCUUGUUUCAGUAACCAGUUUUGGUAUGGUAUCUUUUUUUUUAAUAUAGAGUGGUCUAUUGUUUUUGUUUCCCUUUUAAAAAAAACAGUACAUAAUAAAAUCCAUGCGAAAGAUAUGUCAUCAGUCCUUCAUACACAGUGCUCAAAGAUUUCUGUUUUAUUUAUUUUUUUAACCUUUUUUUUUUAAAGUGCUUAAAACAACAACCAGACAAGUAAAGCGAGGCUCAUGGCAUGCAGUGGUGAUCGCUUCCCCCACAACACGCACAUAUACCUAUUACAUCAAAAGUACAUGCAUAGCUUGGUGCUUUGUAACUUAUAUUUUUAAAUUUGACACAGACACACGCACGCACGCACUCACGCGCACCCACCCACACACACUUUUAUUUUAAAUAAAAGGAAAGCAGACUUAUUUGUGAAAGUUAAUUUACUGUGUUGCUCAUUUGCAGUUUGAUGUGACACAUUCAUAUAUACAUACAUUGUGCCACGUACUUAAAGGACAAGUGUAUUUUUAGGCAAAUGAAAGGAUCUAAAACAUAAUUGCUCUGGAGAUCACUGCCUUCCCACUUACUGAUUUUUAAAGCUGCCUUAACAAAGAUUAUUGGCAGGAUUUGUUAACCUGAUGAUCAUGAGCUUCAAUUUUGCCUGAAGAAAUCCUUUGUCCGAAGUGACUUUUAUGCACACCUCAUGGCAGGAAGUGGUCACUUUAGUGCCUCCCAGCUAUGGUAAACAUUUCCCAUAUGGGUCGAUUGGGCAGAUGGAGUUAAUAAAUGGUUUGUAAAGACUGGGAGACUGGGCAUUACUAGAAUCUGUUUAUAUGCAGGGUUGCUCCAUGGUUAUGGCUUUGCUUUAACCCAGAGAAGAAAACUUAUUUGAGUGCUGCCUAAGCUUUUUAUGAUUCUUUCAUUCUACUCUUACAGAAACUUCCUAGUGACUUUGAUUCCUACCUUGUGAUGACAUAGAAUAUCAGUUGAACUUUAAAAAUGCUGCAGUUGCAAAAGUUUCAAAGUCAUGCCUAGCAUGGGGUGAAAAAUGCUUAUUCUUUUAAAUGAAAUCAAAUAAAAAUGAACUGAGACAGAUGAAGAAAACUAUUGAAAGAGCAGUUGAAAUACUGUUUAAAAUGCUGAAAACCUUAAAAUGUAGAGAAUUUUUUCUUCUCUUUCCACAUCAACAAAGAUGAGAAUUAUAUAGCUGCAAUGAGUGAGUCGUUAUGAUUCCAAAAAUGAUGGCUUUUUUCUAUGCAUUGUGACAAAUUGUUGCAAAACAACAGAGACAGGUCUAUUAUUUUUUUUUUUUACUCUGAAAAAACAUUUUCACACCUGCCUUUUAGGACAUCUUUUCUUGCCACGGAUUCCUUCUACCUGUUGUAAAGAUUCCUUACAACAUUUUAAAUAAAUACUAUAGACAGUUUCAGAGAGACUGCAGCAUGGAUGAGCUAGUUUGUUGGUGUCAGAAUGACACUGAGUAUGCUAGUAUUCUCCAACUAUCUCAGCUCACAUGAUCCUCCAUCAAGAUGACUGUGAAUUAUGUAAUUUGUGGUGUGCUAGGGGAAUUUUGGUGAAAUUUACUGCUUUUAUGUGGUUCUCCAGAAUACAGUUUGAAAACCACAAUUCCAUAAAUGCUGGACUGGAGCAAGGCUUUGAAUCCAAUGAUACUAAUUUUCUAUAAUAGCACAAUUAAUUAUUGGGUCACUUAAAAUAGCAAACACAGAUCUUAUUGUUUUGGACUGUGGUCUACCCAAACAGUAGAAUAUUCAAAUGUCUGAUAGGCAAGGGCUUUCCCAGAGUUUCUACCCAGAUCCCUUUAAGCAACAAUGCCUGAACUUGAGCCUGGGGCUCUGGGCAAGGCAAUGCACACAAUUUAUAUCAGAGCUAAAAGUUCUUCACGAAUCUAAACUAAGAAAUAGCUGUUUUUGUUCUCAGCAACAAAGGGUUGUUAUAGUUUUCAAAAAUUAUUUUAGUUUGGAACCAUCAUUAGAAUGCUACACAGAGGGAAUAUGCCAAUAUAUGAUUAGAAGAUUAGAAGAAAAUGACUUUGAAUACAUUGAAGAGAAUUAUAUAUGUUAUGCUGGCAUGUCCGUCAUUGAGAAAGUGUAUUCACUAAUACUUCAUAGAGUAAAUUAGGCAUUCUAUAACAUAAUUUGCAACUUUAGUACUCUCUUUUGGAUAUAUAUCUUCUGUUGGUGUUGCAGAAGAAUUUUAAUGCAUGAUAAUGGUUACAUAUGUAUGAAAAAUGAAGUAAUAAAAUGGGUCUAUAAAAUGAUGUAAGAUAAUAAAAUCAUACCAUUUCAGUUUUUUCACACAGAAUAGCAUGAUUUGAAUUUUCAAAUAUUUAGCCAGACUAAUGAUGUAGCAUAGUGCAGCAUAAACCAUACGGGCAGUAUGCAUCUGUUGGACAUUUUCUAGGGGGAAAAAAUCUUGGUUUUCCAAUUAAAAAAAAAAGAUGCUUAGACACAAUCCAGCUUGUGUUUGUCCAGAUAAUACUAAAGGGUAAUAUAAAAAAUAAAGCCAAUAUUCCAAUGCUGAAAAUUAGGUAUUUUCCACUCCUGAUAGAAUGCUGAGCAUUAGAUAGCAAAAACUCAGUUGGGAGCUCGUUAUGAAGAAAAGGAGAGCUAAGGUGCUCCCAAGCACUUCCACCUAGGGCUGGUUAAGUUAGUCCUAAUCCUAAAACUUUAGGCAAGCUUUUGGCAUGGAAUCAGGUGUGAAGGUAGAAAGAAGGUGACCCUUUUGUAGUUUUAAACUGAAUUUUUAACUGCAUUGUUGUUUUAAUUAUUUGUAUUGGCAAUCCUGAAUAAUAGUCAUGGGCAGAAAUAUUAUGCAUAAAUCAUUUAAAUACAAAUACAGAAAAUAAUUUGGCCUAAAAUCUAAUUGUUGUAGGUCUAUCAUUUCCAAGAUAAGGUUUCUUUAUCUUAUUUUCUAAUAGGAAUUGUUUUAUUUAACCACAAGAUAACAUUUUACUGUGGGAUAAGUAUAAGAAAUCUAUAGCUGGCAUGUAACUGUCCCAAAACCUAUACUCUAGUCCAAUACAUGGCACAACUUUUCUUUUUCUGAUGCAGAUGGAGGAAAUGCAGUAACCUAAGACUUUAAUACUUUCUACAAUUUCAUCAUCAGAACCCUUAAAAGAAAAAACUUAAAAUCCUACCUCCACCAACACACUCAGAAAUCCAAUAUAUUGUUAAAUUAGGGCUCUCUGUAGCCCUAAUUAUCGUAAAAUAAUUAAGGGAUCAAAAAUUUGGCUCCUGGUGCAUAAAAUUUGCCUCUCGUGCUCUAGGGAAAUAGUUUUAUGUGAUGUUGACUUUCUCUUGAUAUGUUGCUUAAUUCCUGUAUCUUCAUAUUGUAAAUUUGCAACAAGGAUAUCAUGUGCAUAACUAAAUAUUCUAUACUAAGGAAUAGCCUGGGCAUAUAUGAGAAGGGUAUAUGACACAUGCAUGUUGAAAUCAUAUAAAUGCCAUUACUUUAUGUGGUUGCAUCAAAGAGUGUGAUGUAAGAAUGCAAUCAUGAUGUUAUCACAUGUGCUUUGUCAUUUUGCUCUCACUGAUUUCACACAGAUGCCACUAUUGUAUAGGACAGUGAUCCCCAACCUUUCUGGCUCUAUGGUCCGGCAGCCACAACACAGGGGAGGGAGAAGGGAUGGUUUCACACAUGCGCCCACCCUUGCCCAAAUGGACCUUCAUGCACUUGCAUGCUUGCCCACUGCUUGCUUGGCCUGGUUCCCAAUAGGAUGGGGACCCCUGGUAUAGGAGUUUUUGAACCCCUUUCCAUAAUGUAUUAUAAUAUGCUCUUUGUUUUUCAAAGACAUUACAGCAA
This is a non-coding RNA of Thamnophis sirtalis, 11292 nucleotides long. Lineage: Eukaryota; Metazoa; Chordata; Lepidosauria; Squamata; Natricidae. The record is from RefSeq and is a predicted model, not a curated record.